This 23-nucleotide non-coding RNA is filed under the name Cricetulus griseus (Chinese hamster). Lineage: Eukaryota; Metazoa; Chordata; Mammalia; Rodentia; Cricetidae. The record is from RNAcentral.
AUGUGGGGCUGGUGAAUAUCUUU